UACGUAGGGGGCUAGCGUUGUCCGGAUUUAUUGGGCGUAAAGAGCGUGUAGGCGGCCUGGUAGGUCUGCUGUGAAAACUCGAGGCUCAACCUCGAGAUGUCGGCGGAAACCAUCUGGCUAGAGUCCGGAAGAGGAGAGUGGAAUUCCUGGUGUAGCGGUGAAAUGCGCAGAUAUCAGGAAGAACACCUAUGGCGAAGGCAGCUCUCUGGGACGGUACUGACGCUGAGACGCGAAAAGCGUGGGGAGCGAACAGG
This 254-nucleotide ribosomal RNA is filed under the name uncultured bacterium. RNAcentral's name for it is "partial 16S ribosomal RNA". It matches the Rfam family "Bacterial small subunit ribosomal RNA", at positions 524 to 776 of the family's 1533-position model. The record is from RNAcentral.